UGGGGAAUAUUGGACAAUGGGCGCAAGCCUGAUCCAGCCAUGCCGCGUGAGUGAUGAAGGCCCUAGGGUUGUAAAGCUCUUUCACCGGUGAAGAUAAUGACGGUAACCGGAGAAGAAGCCCCGGCUAACUUCGUGCCAGCAGCCGCGGUAAUACGAAGGGGGCUAGCGUUGUUCGGAAUUACUGGGCGUAAAGCGCACGUAGGCGGACAUUUAAGUCAGGGGUGAAAUCCCGGGGCUCAACCCCGGAACUGCCUUUGAUACUGGGUGUCUAGAGUUCGAGAGAGGUGAGUGGAAUUCCGAGUGUAGAGGUGAAAUUCGUAGAUAUUCGGAGGAACACCAGUGGCGAAGGCGGCUCACUGGCUCGAUACUGACGCUGAGGUGCGAAAGCGUGGGGAGCAAAACAGGAUUAGAUACCCUGGUAGUCCACGCCGUAAACGAUGGAAGCCAGCUGUCGGCAAGUUUACUUGUCGGUGGCGCAGCUAACGCAUUAAGCUUCCCGCCUGGGGAGUACGGUCGCAAGAUUAAAAGCUCAAAUGAAUUGACGGGGUCAUAGCUGUUUCCUG
RNAcentral lists this ribosomal RNA (563 nucleotides) under uncultured bacterium. Its description in RNAcentral is "partial 16S ribosomal RNA". It matches the Rfam family "Bacterial small subunit ribosomal RNA", at positions 355 to 1376 of the family's 1533-position model. The record is from RNAcentral.